RNAcentral lists this ribosomal RNA (508 nucleotides) under uncultured bacterium. Its description in RNAcentral is "partial 16S ribosomal RNA". It matches the Rfam family "Bacterial small subunit ribosomal RNA", at positions 28 to 523 of the family's 1533-position model. The record is from RNAcentral.
GAUGAACGCUAGCUACAGGCUUAACACAUGCAAGUCGAGGGGAAACGACAGAGAAAGCUUGCUUUUUCUAGGCGUCGACCGGCGCACGGGUGAGUAACGCGUAUCCAACCUGCCCAUCACUUGGGGAUAACAUUGCGAAAGUAAGACUAAUACCCAAUGAUAUCUCAAGAAGACAUCUGAAUGAGAUUAAAGAUUUAUCGGUGAUGGAUGGGGAUGCGUCUGAUUAGCUUGUUGGCGGGGUAACGGCCCACCAAGGCGACGAUCAGUAGGGGUUCUGAGAGGAAGGUCCCCCACAUUGGAACUGAGACACGGUCCAAACUCCUACGGGAGGCAGCAGUGAGGAAUAUUGGUCAAUGGGCGAGAGCCUGAACCAGCCAAGUAGCGUGCAGGAUGACGGCCCUAUGGGUUGUAAACUGCUUUUAUAAGGGAAUAAAGUGAGCCUCGUGAGGCUUUUUGCAUGUACCUUAUGAAUAAGGACCGGCUAAUUCCGUGCCAGCAGCCGCAGUAA